This 503-nucleotide ribosomal RNA is filed under the name Streptomyces albiflaviniger. Its description in RNAcentral is "Eukaryotic large subunit ribosomal RNA". It matches the Rfam family "Eukaryotic large subunit ribosomal RNA", at positions 1637 to 2152 of the family's 3401-position model. Lineage: Bacteria; Bacillati; Actinomycetota; Actinomycetes; Kitasatosporales; Streptomycetaceae. The record is from Rfam by way of RNAcentral.
CUUGACGGCAACGUAAAUGAAGUUGGAGACGCUGGCAGGGGCCCUGGGAAGAGUUCUCUUUUCUCCUUAACCGUCUACAACCCUGAAAUCGGAUUAUCCGGAGCUAGGGUUCAAUGGCGGGUAGAGCCUAUCACUUUUGAUAGGUCCGGUGCGUUCCUGACAGUCCUUGAAAAUCCAACGGAACACUUAAUUUUCACGCCUGGUCGUACUCAUAACCGCAGCAGGUCUCCAAGGUGAACAGCCUCUAGUUGAUAGAACAAUGUAGAUAAGGGAAGUCGGCAAAAUGGAUCCGUAACUUCGGGAUAAGGAUUGGCUCUAAGGGUCGGGCUCGCUGGGCCUUGGGGGGAACCUCCUGGAGCAGUAGGGCACUAGCCGGGCAACCGGCCGGCGCCCCGCAGCACCGGGUUGGGGACGCCCUUGGCAGGCUUCGGCCGUCCGGCGGGCGAUUAACGACCAACUUAGAACUGGUACGGACAAGGGGAAUCUGACUGUCUAAUUAAAAC